RNAcentral lists this transfer RNA (67 nucleotides) under Stenischia humilis. Its description in RNAcentral is "tRNA-Gly". The record is from RNAcentral. Lineage: Eukaryota; Metazoa; Arthropoda; Insecta; Siphonaptera; Hystrichopsyllidae.
AUUUAUAUAGUAUAUAAUUGUAUAUAUGACUUCCAAUCAUAAGGUCUAAUAAAAAUUAGUAUAAAUA